Molecule: ribosomal RNA, 504 nt
Filed under: uncultured bacterium
Lineage: Bacteria
Description: partial 16S ribosomal RNA
Rfam family: Bacterial small subunit ribosomal RNA
Source: RNAcentral
AUUGAACGCUGGCGGCAUGCCUUACACAUGCAAGUCGAACGGCAGCAUGGAGAGCUUGCUCUCUGAUGGCGAGUGGCGAACGGGUGAGUAAAGCAUCGGAACGUACCGUGUAAUGGGGGAUAACGUAGCGAAAGUUACGCUAAUACCGCAUACGACCUGAGGGUGAAAGAAGGGGAUCGCAAGACCUUGCGUUAUACGAGCGGCCGCCGUCAGAUUAGCUAGUUGGUAGGGUAAAGGCCUACCAAGGCGACGAUCUGUAGCGGGUCUGAGAGGACGAUCCGCCACACUGGGACUGAGACACGGCCCAGACUCCUACGGGAGGCAGCAGUGGGGAAUUUUGGACAAUGGGGGCAACCCUGAUCCAGCCAUGCCGCGUGAGUGAAGAAGGCCUUCGGGUUGUAAAGCUCUUUCGGCCGGGAAGAAAUCGCACAGGCUAAUACUCUGUGUGGAUGACGGUACCGGCAUAAGAAGCACCGGCUAACUACGUGCCAGCCGCCGCCGUAA